RNAcentral lists this ribosomal RNA (121 nucleotides) under Pteropus vampyrus (large flying fox). Lineage: Eukaryota; Metazoa; Chordata; Mammalia; Chiroptera; Pteropodidae. The record is from RNAcentral.
GUCUAUGGCCAUACCACCCUUAAUGCGCCCCCGAUCUCGUCUGAUCUUGGAAGCUAAGCAUGGUCCGGCCCGGUUAGUACUUGGAUGGGAGACGAACUAGGAAUACCGGGUGCUGUAGGCA